Molecule: unclassified non-coding RNA, 200 nt
Filed under: soil metagenome
Description: partial contains internal transcribed spacer 2 and large subunit ribosomal RNA
Source: RNAcentral
UUUCUGACCUGGCGGUGGACUUGGACUUGGGUGUCUGCCGCUCACACGGCUCGCCUUAAAGACGUUAGUGGGACAAGUUGCCUAUGGCUUGACGUAAUAAGUUUCGUCGGACCUGGUGACUUACGCCCGCUCACAACACGCCCUCGGGCAACUACUUUAUGCUAGACCUCAAAUCAGGUAGGACUACCCGCUGAACUUAA